AUCAAAGUGACCAUUCACUCAAGUGAAGAAGACUAGGGAAAAAGAUUUUUGACGAAACGGGAAGUGAGUUUGGAAAGGCGUAAGGAGCUUGAAAGGUACCGACGACAGGUUUGCUGAUCCGUCUGCUUAGGAUCUCAUUCUGCUAUUUUUGGAGCGCUCUUUUAUUCAGAGCCAUCUUUUGGUAUAGUCUGUCACUUCUAUAUAUGUAUAUUUCUCGUUCAUGGGUACGGCGGGGCCCUGUCCCGUCAUAUGAUUCUGUCGGUCUGUUAGAGGUCUGUGGACAUGU
Molecule: long non-coding RNA, 286 nt
Organism: Lycium barbarum (goji berry)
Lineage: Eukaryota; Viridiplantae; Streptophyta; Magnoliopsida; Solanales; Solanaceae
Exons: 3
Source: RefSeq, a predicted model, not a curated record